GGCCGGGUCCGGUGGGCGGACGGCUCGUGAACCUGGUCAGGGCUUGAUCGCAGCAGCCAUAAGCGUUGUCGCCCGAGCCAACGAUCGCCUGGCCGUC
Molecule: signal recognition particle RNA, 97 nt
Filed under: Phycisphaerae bacterium
Lineage: Bacteria; Pseudomonadati; Planctomycetota; Phycisphaerae
Description: signal recognition particle sRNA small type
Rfam family: Bacterial small signal recognition particle RNA
About the family: The signal recognition particle (SRP) is a universally conserved ribonucleoprotein involved in the co-translational targeting of proteins to membranes.
Source: RNAcentral